AUUAAACGCUGGCGGCAUGCCUUACACAUGCAAGUCGAACGGCAGCACGGGGGCAACCCUGGUGGCGAGUGGCGGACGGGUGAGUAAAGCAUCGGAACGUAUCCUGGAGUGGGGGAUAACGUAGCGAAAGUUACGCUAAUACCGCAUAUUCUGUGAGCAGGAAAGCAGGGGAUCGCAAGACCUUGCGCUCUGGGAGCGGCCGAUGUCGGAUUAGCUAGUUGGUGGGGUAAAGCCUACCAAGGCGACGAUCCGUAGCGGGUCUGAGAGGAUGAUCCGCCACACUGGGACUGAGACACGGCCCAGACUCCUACGGGAGGCAGCAGUGGGGAAUUUUGGACAAUGGGCGGAAGCCUGAUCCAGCCAUGCCGCGUGAGUGAAGAAGGCCUGGUGUAAGACUCUUCGGUCGGGAAGGAAAGUUAGCACGGUUAAGUACCUACGUGUAGAUGACGGUACCGAAC
Molecule: ribosomal RNA, 458 nt
Filed under: uncultured bacterium
Lineage: Bacteria
Description: bacterial SSU rRNA
Rfam family: Bacterial small subunit ribosomal RNA
Source: RNAcentral